This 420-nucleotide ribosomal RNA is filed under the name Fusobacteriota bacterium. RNAcentral's name for it is "Fusobacteria bacterium partial 16S ribosomal RNA". It matches the Rfam family "Bacterial small subunit ribosomal RNA", at positions 355 to 776 of the family's 1533-position model. The record is from RNAcentral. Lineage: Bacteria; Fusobacteriati; Fusobacteriota.
UGGGGGAUAUUGCACAAUGGGCGAAAGCCUGAUGCAGCGACGCCGCGUGGGGGAUGAAGGCCUUCGGGUUGUAAACUUCUUUUGCUCUGAACAAGGCAUGCUUUUGGGGUGUGUUGAGUGUAGGGGUUGAUUAGCGCCGGCUAACUACGUGCCAGCAGCCGCGGUAAUACGUAGGGCGCGAGCGUUGUCCGGAAUUAUUGGGCGUAAAGGGCUUGUAGGUGGCUGGUUGCGUCUGUCGUGAAAGCUCAUGGCUUAACUGUGGGUUUGCGGUGGGUACGGGCUGGCUUGAGUGCAGUAGGGGGGGCUGGAAUUCCUGGUGUAGCGGUGGAAUGCGCAGAUAUCAGGAGGAAUACCGGUGGCGAAGGCGGGUCUCUGGGCUGUUACUGACGCUGAGGGGCGAAAGCGUGGGGAGCGAACAGG